GGAAGGAUCAUUACUGUGUAUAACCGAGGGCCGCUUGACGGCCCUCAAAAACACACCUUAUCACACCGUGAACCGUGGCUUCGGCCCAAACUGUUUUCAUAUGUACCGAGAAUGUAUCCAUUAGGAAAUAAGAACAUGACAAAACUUUCAACAACGGAUCUCUAGGCUCUCGCAUCGAUGAAGAACGCAGCGAAUUGCGAAAAGUAAUGUGAAUUGCAGAAUUCAGUGAAUCAUCGAGUCUUUGAACGCAUCUUGCGCCCUCUGGUAUUCCGGAGGGCAUGCCUGUUUGAGUGUCGUGAACACCUCACCCCUUUGGGUUUUCGGACCCGAUCGCCGGUGGAUUUGGGCGUUGCCACCUGACCGUGGCUCGCCUCAAAAGCGUUAGCUGGUCGGAAUGGGCGUGAUAAGUUUCGUCCGCGUCGGCUGCUUCUAAUGAUCCCGCGAGGGAUGUCUCCUCUGGGGGCAUGCAUUUUACGAUCUGACCUCAAAUCAGGUAGGGCUACCCGCUGAACUUAAGCAUAUCAAUAAGCGGAGGAAAAGAAACUAACCAGGAUUCCCUUAGUAACGGCGAGUGAACCGGGAAGAGCUCAAAUUUGUAAUCUGGCGUCCUCCGGGCGUCCGAGUUGUAAUCUAAAGAGGCGUUUUCCGCGCCGGACCGCGUCCAAGUCCCCUGGAAUGGGGUAUCAAAGAGGGUGAGAAUCCCGUGCUUGACGCGACGACCGGUGCUCUGUGAUGCGUCCUCGACGAGUCGAGUUGUUUGGGAAUGCAGCUCUAAAUGGGUGGUAAAUUCCAUCUAAGGCUAAAUAUUGGCGAGAGACCGAUAGCGAACAAGUACCGUGAGGGAAAGAUGAAAAGCACUUUGGAAAGAGAGUUAAACAGCACGUGAAAUUGUUGAAAGGGAAACGAUUGAAGUCAGUCGUGCGCGUGGUAUUCAGCCGUCUCUGGCGGUGCACUUGCCACGCGCGGGUCAACGUCGGUUCGGGCCGGCGGAAAAUGGCAGGGGGAAGGUGGCACCUCCGGGUGUGUUAUAGCCUCCUGUCGUAUACGUCGGCUGGGACCGAGGACUGCAGCUCGCCCUCCGGGGCCGGGGGUUCGCCUCACGUACCGAGCUUAGGAUGUUGGCAUAAUGGCUUUAAACGACCCGUCUUGAAACACGGACCAAGGAGUCUAACAUGUAUGCGAGUGUUUGGGUGUCAAACCCGUGACGCGGAAUGAAAGUGAACAGGAGGGAUCCGAACAGGAGCACCUUCGACCGAUCCAGACGUUCUCUGACGGAUUUGAGUAAGAGCAUAUAUGCUGGGACCCGAAAGAUGGUGAACUAUGCCUGAAUAGGGUGAAGCCAGGGGAAACCCUGGUGGAGGCUCGUAGCGAUUCUGACGUGCAAAUCGAUCGUCAAAUUUGGGUAUAGGGGCGAAAGACUAAUCGAACCAUCUAGUAGCUGGUUCCUGC
This 1449-nucleotide unclassified non-coding RNA is filed under the name uncultured Tremellales. RNAcentral describes it as "sequence contains 18S rRNA gene, ITS1, 5.8S rRNA gene, ITS2, 28S rRNA gene". The stretch from base 480 to 1449 matches the Rfam family "Eukaryotic large subunit ribosomal RNA", at positions 1 to 961 of the family's 3401-position model. Lineage: Eukaryota; Fungi; Basidiomycota; Tremellomycetes; Tremellales. The record is from RNAcentral.